GUUGGAAUAUAGCAUAGCAAAAGAUGCUGUAUUUUGCUUAUACUACUAUCUUUUUAGCUCAAGUGAUGGUUCAUUUGUUAAUGGUGGGUUCUCAAAUUGGAAAAGAAAUGACAUUAUUAGAAAACACGUUGGGGCACCAAGUAGUGCACACAAUCAGGCUCGGGUCCGGUAUGAAUCAUUCAAGAAUCAAAGACAAAGCAUUCAAUCGUGUUUCAUUAAACAGUCACAUCAAGCUUGAACAGAGUAUCGAAUUCAUUUGAAUGCAUCAAUUGAUUGUGUUCAGUUUCUUCUAUGACAAGGGAUGGCCUUUCGUGGACAUGAUGAAUCUGAAGAUUCAAACAAUCGAGGAAACUUUCUUAAACUAUUACAUUGGUUGUGUGAUCAUAAUGCUGAGAUUAAGGUUGUUUCUUUGACAAAUGCACCUGAAAAUCACAAAUUGACGUCACCACAAGUUCAGAAAGAUAUUGUGAGUGCUAUCGCUUCUGCAGCUCUUAAUGUGAUUAUCAAAGAUAUGGGGGAUAGCUUGUUUUCUAUUAUAGUUGAUGAAUCUCGAGACAUUUCAGUGAAAGAGCAAAUGUCAGUUGUUAUUUGUUAUGUGAAGAAUGGGCGUGUAUUGGAACAUUUUAUUGGUGUUACGCAUGUUUCAAGCACUACAGCUGUUGCACUUAAGGCUGCAAUUGAUCAAUUAUUCUCCACGCAUAGCUUAAGUAUAUCUAAUUUGAGAGGUCAAGGAUAUGAUGGAGCGAGUAAUAUGCCAGGUGAGUAUAAUGGUCUCAAAUCACUUAUUUUGAAAGAAAACCUAAGUGCUUACUACAUUCAUUGCUUUGCUCAUCAACUUCAACUAGCACUUGUAGUUGUAGCACAAAACAUCCAAAAAUUGAAGCUUUCUUCACUUUAGUACACAGGUUGGUGAAUAUUGUUGGAGGAUCGGCUAAGCGAAGUGAUCUUAUUUGAGAGAAACAAAGACUUAAAAUUCUUGAAGCACUUAGUGUCGGUGACAUAUCAAGUGGACUAGGUCUCAACCAAGAAACUACUCUUAAGCGUUUUGGUGAUACUCGUUGGGGGCUCUCAUUACAGUUGUUUGAUUAACUUGAUUCUCAUGUUUUCAGCCACUGUUGAUGUUAUUGAAGAGAUUGCUACUGAUACUACAAGUUCCGGAACAAGAGGUGAUGCAAAUAUUUUAUUGGAGACAAAGGAAAG
Molecule: long non-coding RNA, 1200 nt
Filed under: Olea europaea subsp. europaea
Lineage: Eukaryota; Viridiplantae; Streptophyta; Magnoliopsida; Lamiales; Oleaceae
Source: RNAcentral